CUGAGGUCAUCCAGCUACAUGCAAACUCCUAUAGAAAAUCAUUGAUUCAAUGCUUUUCCAAUGUGUGUGCUGCAUAUGCACAUUUGCCCCUCCCCCUUUCAUGCUGACAUUGGAAGAGGUGGAGACAGAGCCAAUGCAGAGGAAUGUUGGUACUGAAAUAAGGUAAGUGGGUAAAGGGUUUUUAACCCUUUCAUUGUGUAUGUGUGUUGGAGGUGAGGGGGGCACAAGACAUUGUAGUGUUAGCUUUGAAGAACUAUGGACUAAAAGCUUUUUUUAUUGUGCUAUGUGCAGUAUGGUAAAACGUGCUGCAGGCACUCUCCAGGUAUUAUUAAAGUACAUAUCACAUGAUCCUGAGCACACACGUCACUAAAUAUGAUUUGGUGGUGGAAUGUUGAAUAUUUAGUUAAAUUACAGCUGGACUGAUACAUAUGGUGCAUUAAUGGUGAUCCUGCCUUUGAACUCACAUUGUACUUCUGAUACAUAAUUCCUGUUAAUGAGAGAUAUAGUUAUGUGUUUAUUAAUAUAGCAUGUUUGGAAUAGUGUGUGUGCACUAGAAGUCUUUUAUGGCACUAUGUUUUCAGGCAUUUGCAUCAGGCUGCUACAUCAGACUGAGCCUUUCCAGACUCCCUAUGAUGCAAAGCCAGAUGCGGUGAAAAGCACUUUACACAAAAUAAAGGUUUAAUUUCAAUCUUUAAUUUACAAUAUUUUAGUUUGAUUUGAACACUAUAAAUCACUGCUUCCGCAUAACUUUAUAUAGCACACAAUGUCUUGACCAAGUAUUCAGAAUCUGGCCAGUUAUCUCAACCCACUGUCAGGAUUAUUCACUAUAGGAAAAAUUGCUGCAAAUUGUGAAUUCAAGAUGAAUUUGAAGUUAAAGGCCAAAUAACCAAAUCGGACAAAUUCACCUAUGCAUCCAAUUCAGCUACUUUGACCUUAAAUUUGAAAUUCACUUCUGAAUUCCCAGCAAAUCUUACUCUAGUGAAUAAGCAUGUGAAUGGAAAAUAGUAAACAGAAAU
Non-coding RNA from Pelobates cultripes (western spadefoot toad), 1016 nucleotides. NCBI's taxonomy places the organism in Eukaryota, Metazoa, Chordata, Amphibia, Anura, Pelobatidae. The record is from the annotation of a GenBank genome assembly.